CCUACGGGUGGCUGCAGUGGGGGAUAUUGCACAAUGGGGGAAACCCUGAUGCAGCGACGCCGCGUGUGGGAAGACGGUCCUCUGGAUUGUACACCACUGUCCCCAGGGACGAAGAUGACGGUACCUGGGGAGGAAGCUCCGGCUAACUACGUGCCAGCAGCCGCGGUAAUACGUAGGGAGCAAGCGUUGUCCGGAAUUACUGGGUGGAAAGGGAGCGUAGGCGGGAUGGCAAGUUGGGUGUUAAAUCUACCGGCUCAACUGGUAGUCGCACUCAAAACUGCUAUUCUUGAGUGAAGUAGAGGCAGGCGGAAUUCCUAGUGUAGCGGUGAAAUGCGUAGAUAUUAGGAGGAACACCAGUGGCGAAGGCGGCCUGCUGGGCUUUUACUGACGCUGAGGCUCGAAAGUGUGGGGAGCAAACAGGAUUAGAUACCCUUGUAGUC
Molecule: ribosomal RNA, 440 nt
Filed under: uncultured bacterium
Lineage: Bacteria
Description: partial 16S ribosomal RNA
Rfam family: Bacterial small subunit ribosomal RNA
Source: RNAcentral